This 58-nucleotide non-coding RNA is filed under the name unclassified sequences. The record is from RNAcentral.
UGGGGCCUGCGGCGGUCGCCCCGCAUCUCUCUUAAAGGCUUGCGAGCCCAAGCACCGU